UUUCCGUCGGCAGGCAGUCCAACCCCUGUGACAUACCUAUACGUUGCCUCGGCGGAUCAGCCCGCGCCCUGUAAAACGGGACGGCCCGCCCGAGGACCCUAAACUCUGUUUUUAGUGGAACUUCUGAGUAAAACAAACAAAUAAAUCAAAACUUUCAACAACGGAUCUCUUGGUUCUGGCAUCGAUGAAGAACGCAGCAAAAUGCGAUAAGUAAUGUGAAUUGCAGAAUUCAGUGAAUCAUCGAAUCUUUGAACGCACAUUGCGCCCGCCAGUAUUCUGGCGGGCAUGCCUGUUCGAGCGUCAUUUCAACCCUCAAGCUCAGCUUGGUGUUGGGACUCGCGGUAACCCGCGUUCCCCAAAUCGAUUGGCGGUCACGUCGAGCUUCCAUAGCGUAGUAAUCAUACACCUCGUUACUGGUAAUCGUCGCGGCCACGCCGUAAAACCCCAACUUCUGAAUGUUGACCUCGGAUCAGGUAGGAAUACCCGCUGAACUUAAGCAUAUCAAUAAGGCGGAGGAA
RNAcentral lists this ribosomal RNA (518 nucleotides) under Fusarium equiseti. Its description in RNAcentral is "eukaryotic LSU rRNA". The stretch from base 150 to 303 matches the Rfam family "5.8S ribosomal RNA". Lineage: Eukaryota; Fungi; Ascomycota; Sordariomycetes; Hypocreales; Nectriaceae. The record is from RNAcentral.